GGGGAAUUUUGGACAAUGGGGGCAACCCUGAUCCAGCCAUGCCGCGUGAGUGAAGAAGGCCUUCGGGUUGUAAAGCUCUUUCGGCCGGGAAGAAAUCGUGUGGGCUAAUACCUCACAUGGAUGACGGUACCGGAAUAAGAAGCACCGGCUAACUACGUGCCAGCAGCCGCGGUAAUACGUAGGGUGCGAGCGUUAAUCGGAAUUACUGGGCGUAAAGCGUGCGCAGGCGGUUUUGUAAGACAGGCGUGAAAUCCCCGGGCUCAACCUGGGAACUGCGUUUGUGACUGCAAGGCUAGAGUAUGGCAGAGGGGGGUGGAAUUCCACGUGUAGCAGUGAAAUGCGUAGAGAUGUGGAGGAACACCGAUGGCGAAGGCAGCCCCCUGGGCCAAUACUGACGCUCAUGCACGAAAGCGUGGGUAGCAAAC
Molecule: ribosomal RNA, 425 nt
Filed under: uncultured bacterium
Lineage: Bacteria
Description: bacterial SSU rRNA
Rfam family: Bacterial small subunit ribosomal RNA
Source: RNAcentral